AAACAGACUGAACAGAUAAACUCUUUGUGUCCUUUAAGACAAACUCAUGCAGUGUACCUAGCAAUAUUACCUGUAGUUGUAACGUUCAAAGUGGGACAACAACAGGUGCUCAGAGAAGAUUUUUCCAAUCUAAUUUACUCUCACAUGUGCUAAUCCCUCCCAUUUACUAACAGUAUUUAAAAAAAGAUGACUAAAAUGAUGCAGCUUUGUCCCUGUAAAACAAGUCAGCUCCAACUGAGAAAUCCUCAGGUCUUUUAAUGAAUAAAUUCAUAUAUUUUGUAUUGUUUUGGAUUUUAUAGGACGACGGUUUGUUUUCAUACCUCAAUUCCAUUCUUCAGCCCAUGAACUUCAAAAGAGGAGAGGAAAAAUGCAGUUCCAACUGUUCAGGUUUUGGAGAAGGUUUUGCUGACCCUGUAGGAUAUGAAAGGCCAAUAAACUGUUGUGCCAGAUGUGUUCUGUUUUCAUGGGGAGCAGAUGAUACAUCUGAAUGAGAUAAUUAAUAUUGCACAUAUCACCAGUUGCUACUGAGGUAUUCCAUUGUACCAUUGCCUCUAUUAUGCCUAUGAACUUCACAAGAGAGUGAAUACAGGAGACUGGAUGCCUUCUGAAUGUUUAGUUGAAAAUUAUUUCAGAUGAAAAUCUGGAAGUACUCCACUGAUUCCUAAGAGCAGCAAAUUAUACCUUCCUGACACAUGAAUGUGAUUCCUAUUGAUACAUCUGGAUGCAAGUCCCUUUAAUAUCUGAGAACUGGGAUUGUUGUUACAGGUGGACUGAAAUAAGGGGAUGUCUUUGCACCAGUUUGCAAGCUUCUCUGAACCUCUCUUCAGCCAAGGUCUUAAUUAAGUGUUUAGCUUUAAGCUGGCUGAAGUCCAUUACUUUAAAUUCAGCUUUCUGGAUGAGAGUUUUUGUGUGUGCUGUUCACUGUAGAGGAAAAGGAUGGUAUUAUUACCCUGAUCUGAUCUCUGAGCAAAGUAGUUCUCCUAUCCACAUUCCCUGGGGAAAAAAAUAAAUUCCCUCCCUGAACUAGAUUAAUCUCAAGGAAAGUGCAUAGAUUAUUUUUGCCAUCAGAUUUUAUCUCUGACCUUGGGCAAGUCACUUAAACCAUCUGCACCUCCACUCUCAGCAUAUGCUUUUAAGCUUACACCUCUUCCAUUUUACGUGAUAUUAAUUUUGGCUGGAAACUAAACUGCCUCCUGUUACGUGCUUGCAUCAUAUAAGUACUGUAGACUAUGGACAUCGCUGUAAUAUAAAGAAGAAUAACAGAAGGAUGGAAGAGACAUAAACCCAGAGGUUGUUGGAGAACUUUAAAGAAUAAAAGUCCACCUAUGAAGACAACCACAAGGAUGGAAGAUAAAAGCCCUAGCUUAUGCUCCAUUUCAAGGACCUCACUCUUGUGAUGGAUGCCGUUCCUGUCUCAGAAGGCUUACGUGAUCAGUUGGUCAAGGGCAAGGUUAAUAGCAUAGGCACACUCUAGGUAUUAUUACUUAGCUUCUUUUCUGAAGGAAAAAUUAUGUAUGCCAAGAGAUUUCCUUCCCUGCAUUAAUCCCCUCACAAAACCAUUAGACACUGCUGGCAAGUUUUAACCACUUCAGACAAAAAUUUGAGGAUCAGAAGGAUAAUUAAGUUUCUACAAAUUCCAUGACAAUCAGUGGGUUUGGAAAAGCAAGAGACCCUUACUGUUUUAUCCUCAGUGAAAAAAUAACCAGGUAGAGUAUUUGUCCUCUUUGGCCUGCCACUUCAUCAUUCACUACACACACAUUGUUUAGCCAGUUAGCAUAGGUGCGUAGUUUUGAAACACCUACAGCAAUGCAACAUCAUGCCAGCUUGCAAUCAGGCAAAGGAUACACGGUGUAUGAAAGGAACAUGGCAAAGGACUAGGAAGAAGUGUGGGGCAUGCUUGAGCUAUUGCUGUCAUGUCUGGAGAAUAAGACUAAUGAGUAUCAAGGAGAGAGUACACAUUUGGUAUGGAAGCAAUCUGACACCAUUAACUCUGGUAAAUGGUGUUUUUGCUGCCAGAAUGUGGAACUUAAUGUGCAAAUCCACAGGGAAAGGUGGCUACUUGUCUUGGAACAACGUAUUUGUUACCUUUGAAAGCCUGGUACCUUUUUGUUCCACAACUGAAUGGAGCACUUCUUGGUGCAUCCAAACUGGUGUAGUCAUUAUAGUCUCCAUGAACCUGCCUCAGAAGGUUGUAAUCUUGAUGAGUCUUCUUUCUCCACCCUAAUUCCAGUUUCCGCUUCUUUGCUGAGAAAGGUAACAGCUUUCCUGACAGGUUUGAUGUGGUUUUUGUAGUCAGCAAGAAUAAGUUCACCAUGGGCAAACUUUUUUUAAAAUAGGACAACAAGAAAUCUUAGCUCUAGUCUAGAUAUGAAAAAUAGGGCAGGGCAAGUGGAGCAAGAUACCACAUACAUUUUUCACAUGCACAUCUGGUGGCACAAGGAAUGUCCCUAAAAAGACUGUGGUGACUCUGAAGUCCCUCUGGUUUGAACUGUGAAGCAACUGCAUUACUUCCAACAUCUCUGAAAUCUUCCCCAAAUUCAGUAGAUGCUUGACAUGGGUCCUCAGAUGCCAUUAUCUAGCAAAGAGAGAGGUUAAUUUCAGGUGCAAUAAGUUAUAUGCCUUGAAAAAUGGAAGGUGUCUAAAAAAUAACAGGAUAUUUCUGGAACUGUUGGAUAUUAUGUAAUGGGAGCAUUGCCUAGCACUUGCUGUGAUUCCUUGUCCUCUGGACACAGCUGGGGGGUUGCAAAGCUGUCUGAAUAUCUCUGAGAAAUACCAUAGAAAACACUGUCUAAAUGACAUUUGUGGCUUACGGAUGGAGUACAGAGAAGAAAUUCCAGUUUUAUCCUAAAGUAACAAAUUCAAAAAAAUUUUACUCUGCUACCUAAAAUUAAAAUUUUGAAGAGGUAAAUAAAAAUACUGAAUGUACUUAGGAGUCUCUAGCUGUUUUACUUUUUUAUCAAAAGACUGUUCAAUCUGCUUUCCUGAGUACAGUAGUCUCCCCUCUCUUGGCUCAUCUUUCACCAAUAUGAGUAAUGUAUUGGGCACAUGGAAAUGUAUGUCCAGAUUUUGGCUGGGAUAGAGUUCACUUUCUUCCUAGCAGCUGGUGUAGCACUGUGUUUUGGAUUUAGUAUGAGAACAAUGUUGGUAACAUACUGAUGUUUUAGUUGUUGCUAAACAGUCAAGGACUUUUUGGCUCCUCAUGCCACCCCACCAGAGAGUAGGCUGGGGGUGCACAAGAGGUUGGGAGGAAGCACAGCCGGGACAGUUGACCCCAACUGACCAAAGUGAUAUUCUUUACCGUGUAACAUCAUGCUCAUUAUAUAAAGCUGAGGGAAGAAGAAGGAAGGGGGGGACAUUUGGGGUUAUGACAUUUGUCUUCCCAAGUAAUGGCUACAUGUGAUGGGAAGUCUGCCUGUCCAUGGGAAGUAGUGAAUGAAUUCCUUGUUUUGCUUUGCUUCUGAGCACGGCUUCUGCUCUAUCUAUUAAACUGUCUUUAUCUCAACCCAUGAGUUUUCUCACUCUCACCCUUCUGAUUAUCUCCUCCCUCCCACCCAGAGGGCAUUGAGAGAGUUAGUGAGUGGGGCUUAGUUGCUGUCUGGGUUAAACCACAACAGUGUAUUGAAUAAUUUGCAUUUCUUAUGGGCAACAGCGAAGGUUGUAGGCAUUUCAAUUGUAUGAACAAACUUCUGCUACAUGGAACUAAACCCAUUUUCUUUUGCUUUCUGUGAUUUCACCCAAGAAAACAAUAAGAAAGCACUGUUUGUGUUCAGCCUAUUGAGUUCUGAUCAUGCCUAAAAAUUAAUAAUAAUCCUAACAGCAAAAAGUCCUUCUGCCAGAUACAUAAAUCAUCAAAAAAUGAGCCUUCUCCUUCACUGCACUUGAUCUAUGUCCAGUAGCAGAGUGAUCGAGGUAAGUAAGCAAAUACAUGCUUUCUAUCAGUCUGUUUAGAUGAGAUUUGUAAGACAAUUGUCAUGGGCAAGUCUGGUAUAAAUUAACAGGUAAUUUAAUUUGACCUUUUAAAAACGCAAACACUGCCUUAAAUAUCUCACAUAAACUGCUUGAUUUAAUAAAUGUGAUUUUCUUCAUUUA
This is a long non-coding RNA of Columba livia (rock pigeon), 4089 nucleotides long. RefSeq lists it as uncharacterized. The record is from RefSeq and is a predicted model, not a curated record. The transcript has 6 exons. Lineage: Eukaryota; Metazoa; Chordata; Aves; Columbiformes; Columbidae.